RNAcentral lists this ribosomal RNA (231 nucleotides) under uncultured bacterium. Its description in RNAcentral is "partial 16S ribosomal RNA". It matches the Rfam family "Bacterial small subunit ribosomal RNA", at positions 57 to 305 of the family's 1533-position model. The record is from RNAcentral.
GCAAGUCGAGCGCCUUUCUUCGGAAAGGAGCGGCGAACGGGUGAGUAACACGUAGGUUAUCUGCCUCUAGGUGAGGGACAACCGAGGGAAACUUCGGCUAAUACCACAUAUGGACUUCGGUUCAAAGGCUUCGGCCGCCUGGAGAUGAGCCUGCGUCCCAUUAUUUAGUCCUUGUUGGUGGGGUAAUGGCCUACCAUGGCGACGAUCUUUAGCUGGUUUGAGAGGAUGAUC